Molecule: ribosomal RNA, 1332 nt
Filed under: uncultured bacterium
Lineage: Bacteria
Description: bacterial SSU rRNA
Rfam family: Bacterial small subunit ribosomal RNA
Source: RNAcentral
GACGAACGCUGGCGGCGCGCCUAACACAUGCAAGUCGAACGAGCAAAGAGGAGCUUGCUUCUCUGAGCGAGUGGCGAACGGGUGAGUAACGCGUGAGGAACCUGCCUCAAAGAGGGGGACAACAGUUGGAAACGACUGCUAAUACCGCAUAAGCCCACGGGUCGGCAUCGACCAGAGGGAAAAGGAGCAAUCCGCUUUGAGAUGGCCUCGCGUCCGAUUAGCUAGUUGGUGAGGUAAUGGCCCACCAAGGCGACGAUCGGUAGCCGGACUGAGAGGUUGAACGGCCACAUUGGGACUGAGACACGGCCCAGACUCCUACGGGAGGCAGCAGUGGGGAAUAUUGCACAAUGGGGGAAACCCUGAUGCAGCGACGCCGCGUGGAGGAAGAAGGUCUUCGGAUUGUAAACUCCUGUUGUUGAGGAAGAUAAUGACGGUACUCAACAAGGAAGUGACGGCUAACUACGUGCCAGCAGCCGCGGUAAAACGUAGGUCACAAGCGUUGUCCGGAAUUACUGGGUGUAAAGGGAGCGCAGGCGGGAAGACAAGUUGGAAGUGAAAUCCAUGGGCUCAACCCAUGAACUGCUUUCAAAACUGUUUUUCUUGAGUAGUGCAGAGGUAGACGGAAUUCCCGGUGUAGCGGUGGAAUGCGUAGAUAUCGGGAGGAACACCAGUGGCGAAGGCGGCCUACUGGGCACCAACUGACGCUGAGGCUCGAAAGUGUGGGUAGCAAACAGGAUUAGAUACCCUGGUAGUCCACACCGUAAACGAUGAUUACUAGGUGUUGGAGGAUUGACCCCUUCAGUGCCGCAGUUAACACAAUAAGUAAUCCACCUGGGGAGUACGACCGCAAGGUUGAAACUCAAAGGAAUUGACGGGGGCCCGCACAAGCAGUGGAGUAUGUGGUUUAAUUCGACGCAACGCGAAGAACCUUACCAAGUCUUGACAUCCUGCGACGGACAUAGAAAUAUGUCUUUCCUUCGGGACGCAGAGACAGGUGGUGCAUGGUUGUCGUCAGCUCGUGUCGUGAGAUGUUGGGUUAAGUCCCGCAACGAGCGCAACCCUUAUGGUCAGUUACUACGCAAGAGGACUCUGGCCAGACUGCCGUUGACAAAACGGAGGAAGGUGGGGAUGACGUCAAAUCAUCAUGCCCUUUAUGACUUGGGCUACACACGUACUACAAUGGCGUUAAACAAAGAGAAGCAAGACCGCGAGGUGGAGCAAAACUCAGAAACAACGUCCCAGUUCGGACUGCAGGCUGCAACUCGCCUGCACGAAGUCGGAAUUGCUAGUAAUCGUGGAUCAGCAUGCCACGGUGAAUACGUUCCCGGGCCU